Molecule: ribosomal RNA, 253 nt
Filed under: uncultured bacterium
Lineage: Bacteria
Description: partial 16S ribosomal RNA
Rfam family: Bacterial small subunit ribosomal RNA
Source: RNAcentral
UACGAAGGGGGCUAGCGUUGUUCGGAAUCACUGGGCGUAAAGCGCACGUAGGCGGAUCUUUAAGUCAGGGGUGAAAUCCCGAGGCUCAACCUCGGAACUGCCUUUGAUACUGGGGAUCUCGAGUCCGGGAGAGGUGAGUGGAACUGCGAGUGUAGAGGUGAAAUUCGUAGAUAUUCGGAGGAACACCAGUGGCGAAGGCGGCUCACUGGUCCAUUACUGACGCUGAGGUGCGAAAGCGUGGGGAGCAAACAGG